This 898-nucleotide ribosomal RNA is filed under the name Phlebia acerina. Its description in RNAcentral is "partial large subunit ribosomal RNA". It matches the Rfam family "Eukaryotic large subunit ribosomal RNA", at positions 72 to 957 of the family's 3401-position model. Lineage: Eukaryota; Fungi; Basidiomycota; Agaricomycetes; Polyporales; Meruliaceae. The record is from RNAcentral.
GGAUUCCCCUAGUAACUGCGAGUGAAGCGGGAAAAGCUCAAAUUUAAAAUCUGGCGGUCUUCGAUCGUCCGAGUUGUAGUCUGGAGAAGCGUCUUCCGCGCUGGACCGUGUACAAGUCUCUUGGAACAGAGCGUCGUAGAGGGUGAGAAUCCCGUCUUUGACACGGACUACCAGUGCUUUGUGAUGCGCUCUCAAAGAGUCGAGUUGUUUGGGAAUGCAGCUCAAAAUGGGUGGUAAAUUCCAUCUAAAGCUAAAUAUUGGCGAGAGACCGAUAGCGAACAAGUACCGUGAGGGAAAGAUGAAAAGCACUUUGGAAAGAGAGUUAAACAGUACGUGAAAUUGCUGAAAGGGAAACGAUUGAAGUCAGUCGCGUCGUCUAGAACUCAACCUUGCCUCGGCUCGGUGCAUUUUCUAGUUGACGGGCCAGCAUCAGUUUUGACCGUCGGAAAAAGGUCCUCGGAAUGUGGCACCUUCGGGUGUGUUAUAGCCUUGGGUCGUAUACGACGGUUGGGACUGAGGACCGCAGCACGCCUUUAUGGCCGGGGUUCGCCCACGUACGUGCUUAGGAUGCUGGCGUAAUGGCUUUAAACGACCCGUCUUGAAACACGGACCAAGGAGUCUAACAUGCCUGCGAGUGUUUGGGUGGUAAACCCGAGCGCGUAACGAAAGUGAAAGUUGGGAUCCCUGUCGUGGGGAGCACCGACGCCCACACCAGACCUUCUGUGACGGAUGUGCGGUUGAGCAUGUAUGUUGGGACCCGAAAGAUGGUGAACUAUGCCUGAAUAGGGUGAAGCCAGAGGAAACUCUGGUGGAGCUCGUAGCGAUUCUGACGUGCAAAUCGAUCGUCAAAUUUGGGUAUAGGGGCGAAAGACUAAUCGAACCAUCUAGUAGCUGGUCU